Molecule: ribosomal RNA, 508 nt
Filed under: uncultured bacterium
Lineage: Bacteria
Description: bacterial SSU rRNA
Rfam family: Bacterial small subunit ribosomal RNA
Source: RNAcentral
GAUGAACGCUAGCGGGAGGCCUAAUACAUGCAAGUCGAACGGCAGCAGGCAUAGCAAUAUGUGCUGGCGAGUGGCGCACGGGUGAGUAACGCGUACGCAAUCUACCCCCAACCGGGGCAUAGUCACGGGAAACUGUGAAUAAUUCCGUAUGAGGUUGAGUGGCCGCAUGGCUGCUUUACCAAAGUCUUCGGGCGGUUGGGGAUGGGCGUGCGUCUGAUUAGCUAGUUGGUAGGGUAACGGCCUACCAAGGCUACGAUCAGUAGGGGGCGUGAGAGCGUGGCCCCCCACACGGGGUACUGAGACACGGACCCGACUCCUACGGGAGGCAGCAGUAAGGAAUAUUGGUCAAUGGAGGAAACUCUGAACCAGCCAUCCCGCGUGCAGGACGAAGGCCCUCUGGGUUGUAAACUGCUUUUACCAGGAAGAAACGAGUGGACUUGCCCGCUCCUGACGGUACCUGGGGAAUAAGCACCGGCUAACUCCGUGCCAGCAGCCGCGGUAAAGUGUG